RNAcentral lists this ribosomal RNA (253 nucleotides) under uncultured bacterium. RNAcentral's name for it is "partial 16S ribosomal RNA". It matches the Rfam family "Bacterial small subunit ribosomal RNA", at positions 524 to 776 of the family's 1533-position model. The record is from RNAcentral.
UACGGGGGGGGCAAGCGUUGUUCGGAAUUACUGGGCGUAAAGGGCCAGUAGGCGGCCAACUAAGUCGGAUGUGAAAUCCCCAGGCUUAACCUGGGAACUGCAUCCGAUACUGGAUGGCUUGAAUUCGGGAGAGGGAUGCAGAAUUCCAGGUGUAGCGGUGAAAUGCGUAGAUAUCUGGAGGAACACCGGUGGCGAAGGCGGCAUCCUGGACCGGUAUUGACGCUGAGGCGCGAAAGCCAGGGGAGCAAACGGG